Molecule: non-coding RNA, 1134 nt
Organism: Esox lucius (northern pike)
Lineage: Eukaryota; Metazoa; Chordata; Actinopteri; Esociformes; Esocidae
Source: the annotation of a RefSeq genome assembly
UGUGAGUUUAACACUUCAUGACUGAGAUCUGUCCUUCAUGACAACUGAACCCACAACAACCAUGACAUUUGCAACCAUCUUUAUCUGGACACUUGCUUUCUGCUUCAAGGAAUCCAGAGGUCAGGUCACUGUGACUCAGACUCCUGUAGUUGAAGCUGUUCUCCCAGGACAGACAGUCUCUCUGAAAUGUAGAACCAGCAGUGAUGUUUAUCAGGCAGGGACCUCUUCCCCUCGUAUGGCCUGGUAUCAACAGAAACCUGGAGGAGCUCCUAAACUCUUAAUUUACUAUGCUAAGACACUUCAGUCUGGGACUCCAUCUAGAUUCAGUGGCAGUGGAGAUUAUAGUGACUUCACUCUGACCAUCAAUGGAGUCCAGGCUGAAGAUGCAGGAGAUUACUACUGUCAAAGUUUUCACUAUCCCAACAGUGUACAUGUGUCCCCUUUUGGUGGCGGCACCAGACUUGAUGUUGGAAGUAACACUGCUCCCACCCUGACCAUCCUGCCCCCCUCUAGUGAGGAGCUGUCCAGUACAACAACAGCCACACUGAUGUGUCUGGCCAACAAGGGCUUCCCCUCAGACUGGACCUUGAAUUGGAAAGUGGACGGGAACAACAAGAAUCAGAAGUCCAGUUCCGGGGUCCUGGAGAAGAAUGGUCUGUACAGCUGGAGCAGCACCCUGACUCUCACUGCCCAGGAGUGGAACAAGGUGGGAGAGGUGACCUGUGAAGCCCAGAAGAGCUCCCAGACACCAGUCAUCAAGACCCUGAGGAGGGAUGACUGUUCUGGUUAGGACCUGUCUGUCACAUAACCCUGUGAAGAGAGGUUGCUGGUUCUUUGGCUUUUACUCUGUUUUGAUAUCAGAUGUUUUGUCUUAUUGAUCACUUUUAUGUAGACUAACAGUGAGCUUUGCAUUGUGUCCAUCCUCUCUGUAGAUUGACAUUUGAUAGAUAUGAUAUGGUCUGCUUGUACUAUUAUAACACACAUUUGCUUUUAUGCGUUGAUGAAAAUAAAGAUUUCCCUAUUUAGGAAAUAUAAUUUGUUGUCUUUCAUUAAAUUCAAGUAUAUUUUAUUUGCAAAUAUUGUAUGAGAAUUAAAUAAUAAUAAAGCCAGAUGUGGUUUAUUUGAAAGGUUAAA